AAAACUUUCAACAACGGAUCUCUUGGUUCUCGCAUCGAUGAAGAACGCAGCGAAUUGCGAUACGUAAUAUGACUUGCAGACGUGAAUCAUUGAAUCUUUGAACGCACAUUG
Molecule: ribosomal RNA, 111 nt
Filed under: Sungouiella akabanensis
Lineage: Eukaryota; Fungi; Ascomycota; Pichiomycetes; Serinales; Metschnikowiaceae
Description: [Candida] akabanensis 5.8S ribosomal RNA
Rfam family: 5.8S ribosomal RNA
About the family: 5.8S ribosomal RNA (5.8S rRNA) is a component of the large subunit of the eukaryotic ribosome. It is transcribed by RNA polymerase I as part of the 45S precursor that also contains 18S and 28S rRNA. Functionally, it is thought that 5.8S rRNA may be involved in ribosome translocation.
Source: RNAcentral